Molecule: long non-coding RNA, 2236 nt
Organism: Paramisgurnus dabryanus
Lineage: Eukaryota; Metazoa; Chordata; Actinopteri; Cypriniformes; Cobitidae
Source: RefSeq, a predicted model, not a curated record
UUUGAAUGCUUAAGAGAUCUCACGGUACGGGAGCAGACCUUACAUUCUGGUACAUAUAUAACAUGUCUCCAAAGAACUGAAGUGAUAUAACACAUGCUGUCUGAAUCUGCCAUUUCCUGCUUACUGACCACACACCCGUUGCAAACCUGUUUAGCUUUCCUUUAAGAAUUUGUAAAAGAAAACAACUUGUUUUAUUUCUUUUGUAACUUUACAUCCCUAUGUUGAUUAAGUGAUCUGGAGCUGUAAACGUACAUUGCUGAUGGCGUUGAUAUGCCAGUUCUAAUCCGGUGCUGCGGAUGAAUGUGUUGAGGCAUGUUAAAAAGAUGGCACAAACGGUCACAACCUAAAAGUUUUUUAGCCGUUUCUUUGCUAAGGGAAAACUUUGUAAUGGAAAUGAUGUUUAGUGUUUUAUGAUUGUAACUCAAUGCAUCAGGAUCUUCUAUAAUCCUUGCUGCACUAUAAAAAGCACAGUGUUACUUUUACAUUCAGAUCAUUGUAAAUAUGUUUGACACUGUCAGGGAUUUGAAAGAAUGCCAGUAACUUGUGCACGCUUUCGUUUUAAUCUCAUUUGAAGCGUCUGCUCUAACUUGAUGUCUUCUGACUGCUACCCUUUCCGUUAGCGGUGCUGGCCGCAUGCCCACCUUGACCUGGGGCGUCUGUCAUUCUUGGCCCUUGACUUUUUGUCUGGAACCAAGUUCAUCUUGCUUCCCAACUCUUGAUUCGGGAAGAUUGAAGAAAACUCCCAUUUGGUUUAAAAUCCGACCACAGCAAUCUUGGAGAAGUUGAAAAACUUUCCUGGCACAGCAGCCCGAGUCUCACAUUCCUCCUAACACUACCAGAAGAGAUUCUUCGUUUAAUUAACAGGGCUGGAGAAUCUUGGCGCGAUGGUUCACGCAGACAUGGGCAGCGUGGCUUGGGUCCAGAGCUCUGGCCGCAUCCCAGUUUAGACUCUGGUCACUGCGAAGCCCCUCGUCUUUCACAGCCAGCUGACAUCUGGCCGGUCUGGGACAGGGGAAGCCAGAGCUGGCUGCAAUCCGUGCAGCUCCACGUCCCAUCCUGGCUGCUUGUAUGUGCCAGACAGGUGUGUAAUCUUGAGCUGGAGACGAUGGAGAAUUCAGAUCAGCAUAAAUACAGUAGCAAGGAGGGGUUUCUUUCAGGUGGGUGGACCUGCCAAGACAACAAGCACAGAUUUGUAGGCCUGCCAAACCUGGGUGACCCAGUCACUAUCACGUCCAGACGCCUGAUGCCGCACGUAUCAGCAAAAGUUGCCAUCUCCUCUGACAGCUCGGGCCGUUGUCCAGACGCUCCGUUCUGAAAGCAUCCUGUCAGAGAGAGUGAAUCUGAUGUGAACUGACAGCAGACACAGGCUGAAUGACUGACUGGCCACACACACACACACGCAAUGUGCUCUGGGCCUUGCUGAACUCAUAAGAAAUACAGAAUAAAACCACUCAAUUAUGCAAAUGAUUUUAUUCAUUCCAUCAAUUAAAGUUCGACCGCACAUCAAAAAAUAUAUCAGUAACCCGGAGCUGUUGUAUGGAAAGAAGCUUUCAUGUUUGAUUGAAGCUGUUUGUAGACUAUAUUUAAGAAAAAUAUCACUGAGAAUUUGGCAAGCAAUGCAUAAUUGCUUGUGAAUAGUUAUAACUUUUUUUGGUGUUUUGAUCUCUACAGUAAGUUUAUAUGAAAUUUAUCACAAUUCAAUUGUCUUGUUAAAAUAGCUAUUUUAAUUUGCAUAUAAAAAGUUGCAUUUUGUAUUUUAUGUUUAACAUUCUCUAUUCGCAAUGUUUUUUUCUCAGAAGAAUUAGAGCCUAAACUUAAUUAUUUAAACACAUGUCCUAUGAACACACACACACACACACACACACACACACACACACACACACACACACACACACACACACACACACACACGAGAUUUGGAUUCCCUCUACUGGACUUUAUUGGUAAUGCAGCAGUUUGUAUUCGUGCAAUUGUUUAGUACUGUAUUUAUUCAGACUGAAUAAGAAAGCUACAUGCCUCACAACUAGUUUCUUUUUUUAAUGCAUGAAGGUUGGAUUUAGGGCAUUUGUAAUUUAAAUUUGUUCAAUUAGAAUUUUCAACAUGCAAAUUGGAGGAAGAUUAUUUCAUUUGAACAAAUUAUAUAUUCAUAUAUGUCACAGAUUGCAUUAUGCUAUUUCAUUUUGGAGAAAUGUUGCCUAGAGGUGAUGAAUUUUAUUACCCAACAAAAAUGUCAAAU